This is a long non-coding RNA of Talpa occidentalis (Iberian mole), 1105 nucleotides long. RefSeq lists it as uncharacterized. The transcript is spliced from 3 exons. The record is from RefSeq and is a predicted model, not a curated record. Lineage: Eukaryota; Metazoa; Chordata; Mammalia; Eulipotyphla; Talpidae.
CCCACUUCCGUUCCUUUAUGGCAAAGGUAUCUCUUCCCAGACCCAGCGCAAGAAUAGAGGGUCAGGCGUCCUACAGCGAGGACAUGAAGGGAGCCGCUCGAAACAUAGUGAUCACGACCCUUCAGUCUCCAAGACACACGUGUGAACUGUCCACUUGGCAGGGGAUGUAUCUGUCCCGGGAGAUACCAGGCUCAGAGGCAGGAGACAGGGGUUCUGAGCCCACCAUUAACCAGUUUGAGUUCAACCCUUAGAGUGGCGUGGGGAAGCUGACUCUACAGACUUGGAAAAUGGAGGGAGUGUGGAAAGAUGACUGGAAGGACCGUGGUGGUGGAAAGAACUGGAGGAGUGCUUGCUUGCCAGACUGUGGAUUGGUUCUACCUAGCGCUGUAAACUGUUGGAGUAAGCCCCCAAAGUCCUGUUUCCAUAGAGUCAGUAUUUGUAGUCCAGAAACCCUCCAUCUGCAUGUAAUGCAAUUACAAAGAUACUGAUUUAGUCACUGCAGUGUGUGCAGCACGAAUUAUCCCAUGCAUUACUGGUGGGACUAUAAAGUGAUGCAGCCAAUUUGGAAAAGAGCUUGCUGUUCAUCAAAUGAUUAAAUAGAGUUACCAAGGACCCAGCAAUUCCAUUCCUAGGUAUAUACCCAAGAGUAAUAAAACCGUAUGUUCCAUGCAAAAUCUUGUGCAAAAUGUUCAUGGCAGCAUUUUUUUAUUAUUGCAGAAAAAAAGGAAACAAUCUAAUGUCUGUCAAUGAAUGAAUAAAUGUGGUAUGUCCAAACAACGAAAUAGUUAGGCCAUAAAAAGGAAUGAAGUACUUUCACAUGAAUGAAGCUUGAAAUGAUGCUAAGAAGCAUAAUUGUAUAACUAUAUGAUUCCAUUAAAAGGAAAUGUCCAGUCUAAGCAAAUAUAGAAAAACAAAAAGCAGAUUUGUGAUUCCCUAGGAAUGGAGGUGAAGUUGAGAGAAAUGAAGAGUGACUACUGACAGACAGAGGUUCCUUUUGGAGGUAAUGAAAAUGUUCUAAAUUGUUCUAAAAUGUUCUAAAUUGUUCUAAAAUGUUCUAAAUUGUGGUGAUUGUUGCAUAACUGUGAAUAUACCAAAAACCACUGAA